AUACCUUUCUCGGCCUUUUGGCUAAGAUCAAGUGUAGUAUCUGUUCUUAUCAGUUUAAUAUCUGAUAUGUGAGUCAAUGACUCACACGAUAUUAAAUUAAUUUUUUUAGGGGGAAGGUCCAUUACAGUAGCUUGCUACUGGACUGGGAUCUUCAAGCGUCGCCCAUGCCUUACACUAUUGCAAGGGCCUGGCGCACCCCAC
Small nuclear RNA from Lotus japonicus, 201 nucleotides. RefSeq annotates it as U2 spliceosomal RNA. The transcript has a single exon. The record is from RefSeq and is a predicted model, not a curated record. Lineage: Eukaryota; Viridiplantae; Streptophyta; Magnoliopsida; Fabales; Fabaceae.